AGCAAAUCCUCAAAACAAAGACAGUUUAACCAGCAAUAAAUUAUUGCAAUGGCUCAAUCGGCUUUCUAAGAGUUCCAGGAACACAACCACAACAACCAACCAAUGCUACCACAUCCACAAUCACUGCUACCAUAAAACUACCAUCAGCAUCUCACCCAAGUAAGCAGCUCACUCCACUGCCACCACUAGCAGUGCAGCUGUCAUCACCACCCAACUACAACUACAAAUUUUAACUAAGUUUCAACUCUGGACUCACAGCUAGAGCAACA
This 269-nucleotide unclassified non-coding RNA is filed under the name Hevea brasiliensis (rubber tree). Lineage: Eukaryota; Viridiplantae; Streptophyta; Magnoliopsida; Malpighiales; Euphorbiaceae. The record is from RNAcentral.